CCGAAGAAGGACGGGACUAACACCGAUAUGCUUUGGGGAGCUGUACGUAAGCGUUGAUCCAGAGAUUUCCGAAUGGGGGAACCCACUAUCUUUAGUCGGAUAGUAUCCUUACGUGAAUACAUAGCGUGAGGAAGGCAGACCCAGGGAACUGAAACAUCUAAGUACCUGGAGGAAGAGAAAGAAAAAUCGAUUUCCUGAGUAGCGGCGAGCGAAACGGAAAGAGCCCAAACCAAGAAGCUUGCUUCUUGGGGUUGUAGGACACUCUAUACGGAGUUACAAAAGAAAGUUAUAAAUGAAGCGGUCUGGAAAGGCCCGCCAAAGACGGUAACAGCCCGGUAGUUGAAAUGGCUUUCCCUCCAGAGUGGAUCCUGAGUACGGCGGAACACGUGAAAUUCCGUCGGAAUCCGGGAGGACCAUCUCCCAAGGCUAAAUACUCCCUAGUGACCGAUAGUGAACCAGUACCGUGAGGGAAAGGUGAAAAGCACCCCGGAAGGGGAGUGAAACAGUUCCUGAAACCGUGUGCCUACAAGUAGUUAGAGCCCGUUAAUGGGUGAUAGCGUGCCUUUUGUAGAAUGAACCGGCGAGUUACGAUUUGUUGCAAGGUUAAGCGGAAAAAGCGGAGCCGUAGCGAAAGCGAGUCUGAAUAGGGCGCAUAAGUAACAGGUCGUAGACCCGAAACCAGGUGAUCUACCCAUGUCCAGGAUGAAGGUAAGGUAAUACUUACUGGAGGUCCGAACCCACGCACGUUGAAAAGUGCGGGGAUGAGGUGUGGGUAGCGGAGAAAUUCCAAUCGAACUUGGAGAUAGCUGGUUCUCUCCGAAAUAGCUUUAGGGCUAGCCUCGAGGUAAAGAGUCAUGGAGGUAGAGCACUGUUUGGACUAGGGGCCCUUCUCGGGUUACCGAAUUCAGAUAAACUCCGAAUGCCAUGUACUUAUACUCGGGAGUCAGACUGCGAGUGAUAAGAUCCGUAGUCGAAAGGGAAACAGCCCAGACCACCAGUUAAGGUCCCCAAAUAUAUGUUAAGUGGAAAAGGAUGUGGGGUUGCUUAGACAACCAGGAUGUUGGCUUAGAAGCAGCCACCAUUGAAAGAGUGCGUAAUAGCUCACUGGUCGAGUGACCCCGCGCCGAAAAUGUACCGGGGCUAAACAUAUUACC
RNAcentral lists this ribosomal RNA (1154 nucleotides) under Listeria monocytogenes. RNAcentral's name for it is "partial 23S ribosomal RNA". It matches the Rfam family "Bacterial large subunit ribosomal RNA", at positions 46 to 1195 of the family's 2925-position model. Lineage: Bacteria; Bacillati; Bacillota; Bacilli; Caryophanales; Listeriaceae. The record is from RNAcentral.